AGGGGUGUAGCUCAAUGGGAGAGCAGCGGACUUUGAUUCCGCAGGCUGCUGGUUCAAGUCCAGCCGCCCUUGCCA
RNAcentral lists this transfer RNA (75 nucleotides) under Azoarcus sp. RNAcentral describes it as "tRNA-Gln". It matches the Rfam family "tRNA". Rfam says of the family: Transfer RNA (tRNA) molecules are approximately 80 nucleotides in length. The record is from RNAcentral. Lineage: Bacteria; Pseudomonadati; Pseudomonadota; Betaproteobacteria; Rhodocyclales; Zoogloeaceae.